Long non-coding RNA from Drosophila novamexicana, 1772 nucleotides. RefSeq lists it as uncharacterized. The record is from RefSeq and is a predicted model, not a curated record. The transcript is spliced from 2 exons. Lineage: Eukaryota; Metazoa; Arthropoda; Insecta; Diptera; Drosophilidae.
CUUAUACCCAUUUUUAAUGGUAUACAGGGUAUACAAAUAAAUGGAAACAAAGGUGCAUGGAGUUGUGGGUGUAUAGCCGUAUGGCACGCCAUGGAGUUGGGUAGAUUUAUGAGCUGUGGGCUUUAAGCUGGUCUGACAUUGCAGAGAUUACUGUAACACACAAACAGCUAGGCAAGUAGUAGGCGGUGCCAACAAUUAGACUCAAAUAAAUUGGUUAACAUAAAAGACGUAUAUUUCUUUAAAAAAAAAGGUAUUUUUAAAAAACAUUAAUAUAAAGCUGAACGUUGCGAACUUUGGUUAUAGUCCUUUUGAAGCUUCAACUUGUUGAGAAUUGUAAGUUCCAAGUAAUGCAAAAAGUAAAGUAGGCACAAAAAAAGUCGUGCAAAAGCUAUGCAGACAACCUGCUCACUCUUUGGUGAUUAUUAUUUAUACAAAAAUAAUAACAUCCAUUGACCUCGAGCUAGAGAAAAUACAAAAGGUUUGAAAAUUAAAUCGAUUUAUUAUCAGUAUAUCUGCAUAAGCACGCCAUAGUCAGUUUUAUCCAAAUGCAAUUUGCUCUGCAGGCAAUAUAAAAGGAAGAAAAUCACAAAAAUUGUUGUACAUCUUGUUAUGCGCUCUAUUAAAGCUAUCAACCUGCUGGCCUGUGGUGCAGCUCCGGUCUGUAACAUGCACUGCAUCGAUGUUGUUCCAAGCGUAAUUGAAAUUGUCAAUGGUAGGACGCCGGUCCUAUAACGAGCACAGCUUGAUGCAUUUUCGUGGAAAAGCCAGGCGCUAUUCUGACCAAACAAAUGGACAUAAUCAAGAGGCCAGCGGCAGGCACAAGGAUACGCCCAAAGAAGUGCACAGCAAUUGUGUAAUGACCAUUCAAUUAAUUGGUCUUCAAUUGAAUAAGUUGUUUUGGCAUCUGCACGGCUAUCCAGUCGCGAUUUCGCAUUAAGAAUUUCCAGGAAUUUUAAUUUAACUGCAUGCUUUCUCUCCGCUGAUCGACUGCGCAAUACUCUAUUCGCUGUGUAAAAGCUACUCAAUCGUAUCGUGUGCAGUGUAUUUAAAAUUGUGUCAUUUGCAUAAUAUUUAUCUGUAUAUUCAUAUACUCCAUUUUCCCUUGAGCACAAAAUGGAAAAAGUUAUUUGUUUUAUAUAACUACAUUACUAGUAAAAAAAGUCCCUGUUUUUUUUCAUCCAUUUCCCGAGAAGAAGCUUCUCUAACUUCAUUGUCGUACAAAAUAUAGACAAUUGUUUAUGUUUCCAUUGAAAUUUAAAGUUAAAUUUAUUUAUUAAUAAUAAAUGUAUACAUAUAUAAUUUUUACAAGUUCGUAAAGCUACUCAAAAGUUUUCACCACAUUUACCAAGUUUUUAUUUGAAAUAUUCUUGUUAUGAUCGGGAAAUAAUUUUCGUACAUACAUAUAUCGUAUCAGAUUCUAAUACAAGGUAAUCUCUCUACAAUACAUACAUACAUACAUACAAUAUAUAUAUAUAUAUAUAUAUUUAUAUAUAUUUACGGAUCGCCAUUAUCAUUUUAAAUAUAUUAUCAAGCCAUACUUGGAUUUAGUGUUUUACUUUUCUCGUUUUUUCCAAAACAUUUUACAAAGCAAUCGAAAAGUGUUUAUGGUUUUAUAUAUAUAUAUAUAGGAUAAAUAAGUGAAGUGUUAAUCAGAUGGUAAUUAUUGGCUAUAUCUGGCUGGCUUAAAUUAUCAUACAGUUUAGGACCUAUAAGCGAAAAAAUUUAACAAACAAUUGUGGCUAACAUAUAAAAAAGAACUAAAGCAAGAAAAC